RNAcentral lists this ribosomal RNA (496 nucleotides) under uncultured bacterium. RNAcentral describes it as "partial 16S ribosomal RNA". It matches the Rfam family "Bacterial small subunit ribosomal RNA", at positions 28 to 506 of the family's 1533-position model. The record is from RNAcentral.
GAUGAACGCUGGCGGCGUGCCUAAUACAUGCAAGUCGAGCGAACAGAUGAGGAGCUUGCUCCUCUGACGUUAGCGGCGGACGGGUGAGUAACACGUGGAUAACCUACCUAUAAGACUGGGAUAACUUCGGGAAACCGGAGCUAAUACCGGAUAAUAUAUUGAACCGCAUGGUUCAAUAGUGAAAGACGGUUUUGCUGUCACUUAUAGAUGGAUCCGCGCCGCAUUAGCUAGUUGGUAAGGUAACGGCUUACCAAGGCAACGAUGCGUAGCCGACCUGAGAGGGUGAUCGGCCACACUGGAACUGAGACACGGUCCAGACUCCUACGGGAGGCAGCAGUAGGGAAUCUUCCGCAAUGGGCGAAAGCCUGACGGAGCAACGCCGCGUGAGUGAUGAAGGUCUUCGGAUCGUAAAACGCUGUUAUUAGGGAAGAACAAAUGUGUAAGUAACGAUGCACGUCUUGACGGUACCUAAGCAGAAAGCCACGGCUAACUACGU